This 458-nucleotide ribosomal RNA is filed under the name uncultured bacterium. RNAcentral's name for it is "partial 16S ribosomal RNA". It matches the Rfam family "Bacterial small subunit ribosomal RNA", at positions 338 to 795 of the family's 1533-position model. The record is from RNAcentral.
CCUACGGGUGGCAGCAGUGAGGAAUAUUGGUCAAUGGACGCAAGUCUGAACCAGCCAUGCCGCGUGCAGGAAGACGGCUAUGAGUUGUAAACGGCUUGUGUACGAGGGGAAAGCCCGAUACGUGUAUCGGGUUGAAAGUAACGUACGAAGAAGGAGCGGCGAACUCCGUGCAAGCAGCCGCGGAAAUACGGAGGAUGCAAGCGUUAUCCUGAUUUAUGGGGUUUAAAGGGUGCGUAGGCGGUUCGAUAAGGUAGAGGUGAACUCCCGGGGCGCAACUCCGGCACUUCCUCUGAUACUGUCGGGCUAGCGUUUAGUUGCGUUCGGCGGACUGUAUGUUGUAGCGGUGACAUGCAUAGAGAUCAUACAGAACCCCGAUUGCGAAGGCAGCCUGCCACGCCAUGACUGCCGCUGAUGCACGAAAGCGUGGGGAUCAAACAGGAUUAGAUACCCUAGUAGUC